AUGAACGCUGGCGGCGUGCCUAAUACAUGCAAGUCGAGCGAACAGAUGAGGAGCUUGCUCCUCUGACGUUAGCGGCGGACGGGUGAGUAACACGUGGAUAACCUACCUAUAAGACUGGGAUAACUUCGGGAAACCGGAGCUAAUACCGGAUAAUAUAUUGAACCGCAUGGUUCAAUAGUGAAAGACGGUUUUGCUGUCACUUAUAGAUGGAUCCGCGCCGCAUUAGCUAGUUGGUAAGGUAACGGCUUACCAAGGCAACGAUGCGUAGCCGACCUGAGAGGGUGAUCGGCCACACUGGAACUGAGACACGGUCCAGACUCCUACGGGAGGCAGCAGUAGGGAAUCUUCCGCAAUGGGCGAAAGCCUGACGGAGCAACGCCGCGUGAGUGAUGAAGGUCUUCGGAUCGUAAAACUCUGUUAUUAGGGAAGAACAAAUGUGUAAGUAACUAUGCACGUCUUGACAGUACCUAAUCAGAAAGCCACGGCUAACUACGUG
This 496-nucleotide ribosomal RNA is filed under the name uncultured bacterium. Its description in RNAcentral is "partial 16S ribosomal RNA". It matches the Rfam family "Bacterial small subunit ribosomal RNA", at positions 29 to 507 of the family's 1533-position model. The record is from RNAcentral.